GCACUGCAGCAGAACUCAAAGCCCUGCAGAUGCUUCUGAGCAAAGGCACCCAGUCAUCGUCAUACCUUUGCAGCUCUACUAGGGAAACAUUUCUCAAAGCAAGCUAAGUCUGUUCAGGACAGAUGUAACACAACAGAAAUGAGAGGCCAACUACUGUUCAGAGCAGGGAGUCAGGACUCCCUGUUGUGACCAUUCUUGUUACAAUGCUGAACUGUCUGCAGGAUCUUUAUACACUAUUGAAACUAAAACCAAGCCCCUGUGAGGAGCUUUAGGAUUCAGCACCUUGGGCAGCUCACCAGAAAGGAAAAUCCAGGGAAGGCACCCAGGUGACCAGGAAAGAACAGAAUGUCCCCUCAAGUGACUUGCAGUUUCAGAGAAUCAGUAGCACAGAAAGGACUUGAACCCAGAUAUCUGCCAUAACAUAUCACUGUAUUGAACCAUUGUUCUAUACAGCAGUGUAAGCCUAAACAAAGGAAUGGAGGAGUAUGGCAUGCAUUAACCCUGCAGGCGGUGGUAGCUGGAGACUCUGGGAAAGGCAUCUGGAUCUUUGCAGGUAUCAGUAGUAUAAUUGAAAGACAAUGCAUGCAUCUACACAUGCAAUUAAUGCAAAGCAAUAAACUCCAGUGCAGUUCAUGCGAGAGUUUUUUGCUUCUGGGCACCACAUUUGCACAUGCGCCUGAGACCACAACACAUUGAGCUGGGCUGUGGAAGCCCAGGGCUGUUCUGACCUGGCUUAACAUUCUGCAGAGGGCCUGGCUGGGGCAUGAUGGUGCUCCAGUAUGGGUCUAGCUGGCAGGCAGUCCCGAUACUGAAGCACCUGCAUGCCCCAGCCACUGCUGUCAGCGUGUACACAUGCAUUGUGCCACACUAAAUAAUGCCACAACAGGAUAGUACUUUAGUUUACAAAUAGUAACCUAUGGUGGCAUUUAUUAGUUUACUGCAGCCUAAUAAGGCCUCAUGUGUAGAUGCUGAGAUUUUACUGUGGAGCUCAUUAGGCAAUUUGCAGUAAAUGUCUUGUGUAGAUGUGCCCAGUCUGAAGCAAACGAGAUAGGCUUCUAAGCUCUGCAUUGCUGAAGAAAUAGGGUGAGGGGGAAUGGGGAACAUUUAUAUUUCAUGUCACAAUGUUUUUUAAAUGCAAGGCAUAAGCAGGCCAAAAUGAAACUUCUGUCAUCUUUACAUUAUGGAUGCUCUUAUAAGUUUCUACCCAGCAAUGAUGCAGUUACAAAAAAAACUAAAGUCAGUAUUUUGAUAUUUCGUUAUAUUCAAUGUUUUUAUUAACUUGAGAUGAUGUUAGACACUCAGCUUUCAUCAAAAAAGAUAUGUCUAGUACGCUAUGCAAGAUAAGUUUGAAAUCAUUAUUCCUACUGUUUCAAAAACCAGAAGGCAAAAAACAACCCCUGCAAAUUUGUCUGGUGUUUUAAAGAUCUUGUGAUGUUUAAGCCAAUCUCAUGAUUUUUGGGGGAGAGGGGUGUCGUGAUUUAGGACCUUUGCUGCUGGUGAUCUUGUAUUUAAGUACAUGGUAACUACAUGGAAAUGAACCAUUAAGGUAAACAAUUACCAGUAUAUAUGCAGGUAGACUCAUAAGUCAUCCCUUCCCUGCACUAUCUGUACAAGCGUGUUAUAGUUUAUUAUAUAUUACACAAACAGUUUCUAACUCUGCCCCCGGAAAGCCACCCACCAGUCAUCAAACAAGGAGAUAUUGCUUGCAUGACAGCCACAAAGUUAGAUAUAGUACCUGAAAUUUGAAAGUGUUGAGCACAAA
Molecule: long non-coding RNA, 1762 nt
Organism: Alligator mississippiensis (American alligator)
Lineage: Eukaryota; Metazoa; Chordata; Crocodylia; Alligatoridae
Exons: 3
Source: RefSeq, a predicted model, not a curated record